GGAGAGGUGCGAGAGCGGCUUAAUCGUCGCAGUCAGGAAGACUGUCGCCUGGGUAUCCAGCCGUAGGUUCGAAUCCUACCCUCUCCGCCA
RNAcentral lists this transfer RNA (90 nucleotides) under Nitrospirota bacterium. RNAcentral's name for it is "Nitrospirae bacterium (hot springs metagenome) tRNA-Ser". It matches the Rfam family "tRNA". Rfam says of the family: Transfer RNA (tRNA) molecules are approximately 80 nucleotides in length. Their secondary structure includes four short double-helical elements and three loops (D, anti-codon, and T loops). Further hydrogen bonds mediate the characteristic L-shaped molecular structure. tRNAs have two regions of fundamental functional importance: the anti-codon, which is responsible for specific mRNA codon recognition, and the 3' end, to which the tRNAs corresponding amino acid is attached (by aminoacyl-tRNA synthetases). tRNAs cope with the degeneracy of the genetic code in two manners: having more than one tRNA (with a specific anti-codon) for a particular amino acid; and 'wobble' base-pairing, i.e. permitting non-standard base-pairing at the 3rd anti-codon position. Lineage: Bacteria; Pseudomonadati; Nitrospirota. The record is from RNAcentral.